This is a non-coding RNA of Schistosoma mansoni, 45 nucleotides long. The record is from Rfam. Lineage: Eukaryota; Metazoa; Platyhelminthes; Trematoda; Strigeidida; Schistosomatidae.
AUCCAGAUGACAAGUCCCAAAUAGCAUGGAACGCGCGUCCUGGAU